UCCUUUAAGCUCAAAAUAUCUCAGGUGGUUGUAGACUUGAAAAGUGGCUUCUGGUUACUUACCUAGAUAGUGUUAGGAGUUAAACAUAUGUUUUUGUUUUUUUUCGCAUGGGCUUAUUCCCCUACCCCACUCUCCAUCCCUCCUCCUUGCUUUCUGUUUUCUGGAAAGGAUGUUCUUAGAUAAAACUGGCAAUACGCAAUUUUUAUUUUCUAUCUGGUUUAGAAAUGUUUACAACAUCCUAUCAUGAUGAUGGUAUAAAUGCAAGCUAACUUGUGGUUGGCAGGUGGUUCUUUUCCUUGCAUCAUUUCCAGGAUUUGAUACAUAAAUAUGCAUACAGUUGGUUAUGCUAUGCCCUAGACAACCUACUAAUAUGCUUGCAUGCUGGCAUAUUUGUAAAACUUGUGUAUUUUCGUGAUUUUGAUAAGCAACCUAUUGAGGCAUAGUUGCUCUAGAUGGCCAAUAUGAUUGUCACCAUAGUGCUUGAAUGAUAAUGCAGUUGGUUCCUAGGUUUGGAUUUACUUAUUUGGGUGAUUUUAUGAGUUGGAGACACAUGUUUGUUGGAAACUUUGCCAUUUUCUUGUCUAGGCUGUUAUUAUUUUCUUUGCGUUCUAUAUUGUUCCUUAAAGGUCACCCAAAACAAUCAGUCCAGUGUAAUGUUUGGCUUCAUGUUUGUUUUCUUGGAGGCAAUACUAUUAGAAAUUUAGAUGCCAAGAGAAAGAUUACACUUGUGGGGCGUUUGGUAUAAGUUUAACAAGGGAUAAUUAUUACCCUUGUAACUUUUACCCCCUUAUUAAUGUUGGUUGGAUAUUUAAAGAGAUUAGGUUAAUUUUUCAUCUCAUUAAAGGAGUUAAAUGUUAACCUUGGAGGGUCUAGAUUAAUAAUUACCUUCUUUAAAGGUUAAAACUCACAAUAAUAAUAUUUAACCUUUGAUUUUUUAACAAUCUACCAAACACACCCUUAACAGUGCAACGACAAUGUCUUCUUUUUAUGAUCUGGAUUAGGUUUGCUGGACCAUUGUAGUGCUUUGUCUUAUUGUCAUCUGAAUUUGGGACUACUGUGCUUCUGACUACUUCAAAAGAACUUAUCUUGUUUUCAUUUGGAUUGUGCAUCUGCAUAGAAGGAUUUUUAAAUCUCAUGUUUCUCGCUUAACUACUGGUUUAUACCUUGAGUUAGCUGGCAUGUUGUUGACAUAGGAUUAGUAAAGGUUUUUUUAUUUGAUGUGAUAAAAGGUUCAUUUUGAAAUGUUAUAAUGAAAAAUCAUGGAAGACUCCUCACCAUGUUUUUUUAUGUAGAGAAUGAGGAAUGAGGAUCUUCAAAGACCCUAAUUUCCGUGAUUAAUUCUUUCUCAGUGUGCUUUUUAUAUCCCGUGGAGGUGUGAUGAUUCUGGAAUAGAUGCACACGGCAAUUUGGUUGCUUUUUGAUGGUAUACGAAUGAUGGUGCUUUAGUUUGAUCCCUUGGAGUAGUCAUGCAGAGACAGAUAUAUGGCCCUGGGGAUUAGUUAAUAGAUCACAUGGUUUGAUAAAUUCAGCAAUUAAUUUUUACCUUUAGGCCAAAAUAAUGCAGAAACUGAACCUGAAAUUUCAGAGAGUAGGUUCAUUGUACACUGGCUGUGAGCAUAUGCUGCUAGUUUGUGUAUUUCCUCUUUUGGACUGAGUUCCUUGCAAUGCCAUUACUGAUCUCGUGUGCGUAUUAACUCCACAACUAACAUUUAGCAUCAUUAUGUUAUGUUGAUUGAUGUAAAGUUGUUGAAAAUAAUACUGAUUGUGGGGAAAAUUCUGCUUGUUUGUGUGUUGUCCUUUUUUGUCAUAGGUAUACAGUAUGAUUAACUGAUCUUGUUCUUCCCCAACUGCAGGACCAGGAAUGGUGAUGUUGUAUCAGCCUGUGUUUAAGUAUUUGCUAGAAACUAAUUUUCUUUGGUUGUUUUAUUGUCACUGAUAGAGAAAUUGAUGAGAAGAUCCUAAACUAUCUUUUUAUUAACCUCCUUACCCAUAAAUUUUUCAAAAUUAUGAAUUAAAUUAAAAAAAAAAUCUUUGAUAUAUUGUCCUCAUCUGCAUCAAUUGGCCUCUGUAAUAUUUUUGGGAACUGUGCAUUAUGAUUUAUCCUGUAUAUUUGUUCUGUUAUAUGAUCUUCUGACUUUUGUUUUUACCAGUCAUUUGGUUAUUAAGACAUAUCAAGAAAUCAAUGACGUGCCUUAUGGAGAUUAUUUUCGUGUUGAGGUACAAAGCCAUUGCUGAGCCAUCGUGACACAUACUAAUUGAAUAUAAUAUUUUUGGCUUCCCUACUUUUCAAUGUGUUAACAUUCUCAAAAUGUCCUAUUUAAGAAAUGCAAUGUGAGUCAUGGCCUUUUUUUUAAUGUUAAGGAUUAAUCAACUAUGGUGAAGUAAGAAAUGUGUACCUGGUUAUCUAUUGGAGUGUUUAUGUUGAGGUUUGAGGUUAUUUAGAUGUGUUGGGGACUUGGGACUUCAGGAAGUCAUGACACAGCCAAGAUUCUGUUGCAUCAUGUUUGCUGAUUUAUAAUAUGAAUCAAGCAGGUGUGAUGGAUGGAUACUGUGUUCUUUUUCCCACUGCCAUUUCAUCUUCUUCAAUCUCUUUCCUCACCUACUUCACUUCUUCCAUAUUCAGAGUGAAUUAUGUUCGGUUCAUUUAACAGGGAAUCUGUAAGCAGUCAUACCUUGUACUAAUAGGAAAUCGACAAAUGUUGAAGUCCUUAAUGUUUGAUCAUCUUUCUCAUUCUUGUGAUCUAUUUUCUUCUGCUAUAAUCUGCUCUUCGCUGAGCGGAAUUUUUAGAAAUGUACCUUGUAAUUCAGCAUUGUUAACAGUAUAGAUCUUUGCAAUUUAAUGCAUUUCAUUAAACUGAACAUUCCGGAAAUCUAAUGGAAUUCUUAAAAGAUAUUGUAUCUGGUUUUAAUAUAGGGGCUGUGGGACGUAGUUAAAGAUGGUGAUGAAUCAAAUGAAGGCUGUAUUUUGCGGAUAUAUAUGGAUGUGGCAUUCAGCAAGAAAACUGUUUUCAAAGGGAAAAUAGUGCAGUCUACCUUGGACGAGUGUCGUGAAGCUUAUGCAAUAUGGAUAAAUAUGGUAAUUUUGUUAUCUCUCUAGGUGUAUGUUAUUUAAUUUUCUUUUUAUUUUUGUUGGACUGUAUUGAGUUUAGAUAUUAACUAUACUUACAGGCACAUGAAAUGUUGAAGCAGAAGAACCUUGAAAGACAAGAAGGUUUAAAGGGCGAAAUAUUAAUUUAAACGAUCUUAUGUUCUUGAUGUUUUAUGCUUUGGGAAGUAUUGAAGAUAAUGCAAUCGCUAACUUUUGAUAAUGUUCUAAUUUACUUGAGCAGAAGGUCCUUUUACUAGUUUGAUUCAGAAUGGUGAAGCGAAUUUGUUAAGUGAAGUGAAAACUGGGGAAGCCUCAGAUAGGUCAACAAGCCAGUUAAAUGACCAUGGAAGGAUGGCACAGAUGUCUGGUUCGUUGGAUGUUAAUGAUAGGGUUGGUAACCUUGUGCAAGGAAAUUUCAUGAAUGCUACAACAGUUGCAUCUUUGUUGGGAGAAUAUGUGGCAAAAUUCUGUACAUAUUUGAAAAGUCAGAGCCAAAUUACCUUGAUCUUAGUUGUUGCAUUUGCUGUGAUCUUCCUGAUGCAGGUAUGCAGAUACCCAUCAUUUCUUGCAGUGAUUGGUAGAAUUGUCAAUACAGUUGUAGUGUUUGAUGAGCAACCUGGCAUGACAUUUUGUAAUUAGUUGGUUCUAUGGCUAAUGAAUUUCCUGUGUCAUGUAUCUUGUGCAUAGUUAAUUGUGCUUCCUAGGCUUUCAGCAAUGUACCCCACAAACUUUAGCGUUGUUCAACAUGCUCCUUCCACAUUUCCCUUGCCUAGGCCCAUGUUUUGCCAUGCGAUCAGAAGACUGGAUUCCUUAUAAGUCUCUACCUUAUAAACCAAAUGACCAAUAAUUGUUAUUUUUCACCAACUCACAUUCUAAAUCUCAUGUAACCAGCAGAUCAGGGUAUAAAUAAGCUCUUUCUGCAUUUAUUCUGAUUUACUUUUGUGUAAAUUAUCUUUACCCAGCUAUUACAACGCCACCCUUCUCUAUAUUCUCACUAUAUUCGUGUAAUUUGCAGGUGAGCAUCCUUGUCCUAUUGAACAGACCCCAAAAUGUUCAUGUGGCUCCUUCGGGAAACUAUUACAUAGGCAGCAUGGGUGGUGGAAUAGGCGAAAGAUCAGCUGAAGCUGUGGCUUGGUUAGAGAGGCGGAUGCACCACCUUAAGGAUGAGAUGUUUAUGGUUGAGGCGCAGCUGGAGAGAUUGCGGCAUGAGCACAAUUGGUUGAAAGCACAGUUGAAAGAUCUUGAUGGUCUUAGAAAGCGUAAAUAACCCAAUUUGUAUACAUCACAAUUUCUUGUUAGUAAAUGUUCUUUUUGCUUUUCAUUUUUUCCCUCAAAAUUAUCUGGUUUUUUAUUUGGACAGUUUACAGUAAAUAAUUGACGGCCAAAGUGAAACUCUA
RNAcentral lists this unclassified non-coding RNA (4485 nucleotides) under Hevea brasiliensis (rubber tree). The record is from RNAcentral. Lineage: Eukaryota; Viridiplantae; Streptophyta; Magnoliopsida; Malpighiales; Euphorbiaceae.